RNAcentral lists this ribosomal RNA (414 nucleotides) under uncultured microorganism. RNAcentral describes it as "bacterial SSU rRNA". It matches the Rfam family "Archaeal small subunit ribosomal RNA", at positions 459 to 872 of the family's 1478-position model. The record is from RNAcentral.
CAGCCGCCGCGGUAAUACCGGCGGCCCGAGUGGCGGUCACUAUUAUUGGGCUUAAAGCGUCCGUAGCCGGGUUGGGAAGUCCUCCGGGAAAUCUGGCCGCUUAACGGUCAGAAUGCCGGAGGAUACUCCCAGCCUAGGGAGCGGGAGAGGCCGAGGGUAUUCCCGGGGUCGGGGUGAAAUCCUAUAAUCCCGGGAGGACCACCUGUGGCGAAGGCGCUCGGCUGGAACGCGUCCGACGGUGAGGGACGAAGGCCAGGGGAGCAAACCGGAUUAGAUACCCGGGUAGUCCUGGCUGUAAACGAUGCGGACUUUGUGUCGGACAAGCUAUGAGCUUGUCCGGUGCCGGAGGGAAACCGUUAAGUCCGCCGCCUGGGGAGUACGGCCGCAAGGCUGAAACUUAAAGGAAUUGGCGGG